CACCAGCAUUGAUACUCCAUCACUUAUGUACUGCAUCAAGCCGUCCUCAGAGGUGAGGAAUGUGCUGUCAAGACUAGAAGCAUGUGUCCCUCUCUCCAUUGCAAGAUGGGACAUAGAGAGGAGAAAAGUGGCAGACAGAAGGCUAAUCUCAACUGGAAACCAGAAGGCUAGAAAUCUUAUUGAUGUUAUGUCCAGGGAUAUAGAGCAUAUGAAGGAUGCAGAGAGUGGGUCAAAUGGAAGGAAUGUAGCAGAACAUGUAAACUUGAGUAAGUAUUUGAUCUCUUUGAGCCUACGUUUUUCAAUAUUUGGAUUCCAACAGCCAGCCCAGUGCUGACAGAGUCAGCAAGUUCUUGUUGAGCAGGAUUGUGUCCAUAAAAUAAUGUAUAUAAAAUAGACAAGCUCUAUAGCUCCUUUCAAUUACGACCUUCUCUGACUACUAUUUUCUUGAUUGUCCUCAAAUAUUAUUAAAUAAUCAUGCCCUGACCAUAAUAAAGAAGACUUCAUCAUUGCUGAGGAUGAAUUUCACACCCCAGUCUUUAACUCUAUGUUCUGCUAUCUCUUCCAUCUAAAAAUACAAAAACUAAUUGUUCAG
Molecule: long non-coding RNA, 592 nt
Filed under: Pongo abelii (Sumatran orangutan)
Lineage: Eukaryota; Metazoa; Chordata; Mammalia; Primates; Hominidae
Description: lincRNA
Source: RNAcentral